UAGGGAAUCUUGCGCAAUGGGCGAAAGCCUGACGCAGCGACGCCGCGUGAGAGAAGAAGGCCUUCGGGUCGUAAACCUCUGUCCUUGGGGACGAUGAUGACGGUACCCAAGGAGGAAGCCCCGGCUAACUACGUGCCAGCAGCCGCGGUAAUACGUAGGGGGCGAGCGUUGUCCGGAAUCACUGGGCGUAAAGGGUGCGUAGGCGGCUUGGCAAGUCCUGUGUGAAAGGUCGCGGCUCAACCGCGGUGGGUCAUGGGAAACUGCCAAGCUCGAGUGCCGGAGAGGAUAGCGGAAUUCCCGGUGUAGCGGUGAAAUGCGUAGAGAUCGGGAGGAACACCAGUGGCGAAGGCGGCUAUCUGGAAGGUCACUGACGCUGAGGCACGACAGCUGGGGAGCAAACAGGAUUAGAUACCC
Molecule: ribosomal RNA, 414 nt
Filed under: uncultured bacterium
Lineage: Bacteria
Description: bacterial SSU rRNA
Rfam family: Bacterial small subunit ribosomal RNA
Source: RNAcentral